This 449-nucleotide ribosomal RNA is filed under the name uncultured bacterium. Its description in RNAcentral is "partial 16S ribosomal RNA". It matches the Rfam family "Bacterial small subunit ribosomal RNA", at positions 29 to 523 of the family's 1533-position model. The record is from RNAcentral.
AACGAACGCUGGCGGCAUGCCUAACACAUGCAAGUCGAACGAUGCUUUCGGGCAUAGUGGCGCACGGGUGCGUAACGCGUGGGAAUCUGCCCUUGGGUUCGGAAUAACAGUUAGAAAUGACUGCUAAUACCGGAUGAUGACGUAAGUCCAAAGAUUUAUCGCCCAGGGAUGAGCCCGCGUAGGAUUAGGUAGUUGGUGGGGUAAAGGCCUACCAAGCCGACGAUCCUUAGCUGGUCUGAGAGGAUGAUCAGCCACACUGGGACUGAGACACGGCCCAGACUCCUACGGGAGGCAGCAGUGGGGAAUAUUGGACAAUGGGCGAAAGCCUGAUCCAGCAAUGCCGCGUGAGUGAUGAAGGCCUUAGGGUUGUAAAGCUCUUUUACCCGGGAAGAUAAUGACUGUACCGGGAGAAUAAGCCCCGGCUAACUCCGUGCCAGCAGCCGCAGUAA